Molecule: small RNA, 98 nt
Filed under: Escherichia coli
Lineage: Bacteria; Pseudomonadati; Pseudomonadota; Gammaproteobacteria; Enterobacterales; Enterobacteriaceae
Also listed under: 1 other name
Description: partial RtT sRNA
Rfam family: RtT RNA
About the family: This family represents a bacterial cis-regulatory element known as RtT RNA. The exact function of RtT is unknown although it is thought that it may be involved in changing the cellular response in relation to amino acid starvation.
Source: RNAcentral
ACCAAGGUUCGACUCGAGUGCCAGCGAGAGAGCGUUGCCGCAGGCAACGACCCGUAGGGCGAAGCGCGCAGCGCUGAGUAAUCCUUCCCCCACCACCA